Molecule: long non-coding RNA, 178 nt
Organism: Lemur catta (Ring-tailed lemur)
Lineage: Eukaryota; Metazoa; Chordata; Mammalia; Primates; Lemuridae
Exons: 3
Source: RefSeq, a predicted model, not a curated record
CAGAAGAUAAAAGCUCUUAGGAGAGACUGCUAAGAGAGGAUGAAAGGGGACAACCUUUCUCUGUUGGUGAGAACAUUAAUUGCUAGGGUUCAAGGUUCAAUGCUUUCAUUCAUUCACUCAACAAACCGUUGUCAAUGUUUUCUGUGUGCCAGAUGCUGGCCAGCAGGAUGCAAACAAG